CCUACGGGAGGCAGCAGUGAGGAAUAUUGGGCAAUGGCCGGAAGGCUGAACCAGCCAAGUCGCGGGAAGGAAGAAGGAGCUAUGGUGUGUAAACUUCUUUUAUAGGGGAAUAAAGGCAGCCACGUGUGGAGAUUUGCAUGUACCCUAUGAAUAAGCAUCGGCUAACUCCGUGCCAGCAGCCGCGGUAAUACGGAGGAUGCGAGCGUUAUCCGGAUUUAUUGGGUUUAAAGGGUGCGUAGGUUUUUUUUUAAGUCAGCGGUGAAAGUUUGUGGCUCAACCAUAAAAUUGCCGUUGAAACUGGCAGUCUUUAGUGUGUUUGCGGUAGGCGGCCUGCGUGGUGUAGCGGUGUACUGCCUCGAUCUCACGC
Molecule: ribosomal RNA, 367 nt
Filed under: uncultured bacterium
Lineage: Bacteria
Description: partial 16S ribosomal RNA
Rfam family: Bacterial small subunit ribosomal RNA
Source: RNAcentral